AUUGAACGCUGGCGGCAUGCCUUACACAUGCAAGUCGAACGGCAGCGCGGACUUCGGUCUGGCGGCGAGUGGCGAACGGGUGAGUAAUACAUCGGAACGUACCCUGUUGUGGGGGAUAACUAGUCGAAAGAUUAGCUAAUACCGCAUACGACCUGAGGGUGAACGUGGGGGACCGCAAGGCCUCACGCAGCAGGAGCGGCCGAUGUCUGAUUAGCUAGUUGGUGGGGUAAAGGCCCACCAAGGCGACGAUCAGUAGCUGGUCUGAGAGGACGAUCAGCCACAGUUGGACUGAGACACGGCCCAGACUCCUACGGGAGGCAGCAGUGGGGAAUUUUGGACAAUGGGGGCAACCCUGAUCCAGCAAUGCCGCGUGUGUGAAGAAGGCCUUCGGGUUGUAAAGCACUUUUGUCCGGAAAGAAAUCGCGCUGGUUAAUACCUGGCGUGGAUGACGGUACCGGAAGAAUAAGCACCGGCUAACUACGUGCCAGCAGCCGCAGUAA
RNAcentral lists this ribosomal RNA (500 nucleotides) under uncultured bacterium. RNAcentral's name for it is "partial 16S ribosomal RNA". It matches the Rfam family "Bacterial small subunit ribosomal RNA", at positions 30 to 523 of the family's 1533-position model. The record is from RNAcentral.